CAAAGGCAAGACAAAGCAAGGCAAGGCAAGGGACAUUUGAUCUGCUUACAGAUGUUUGUAUUCUUUAAAUCCAGCUCUAGAGAGUGAGAAGGGAAAGGAGGUUUAGGUCAGAGAGAUAUAAAUCCAAGUGAGAAGAGGAAGGAAGUUUUAAUGAGGAGAGAUAAGAGCAAGGAGGCAAACCUCAUCUGCCAUAAAGGGAACCAUGGCCCACAAAGGGACAGAGGAGAGGUAUUCUGAAGCUGAUUUACUAGAGGUUAGCCCUAAAAACUGGGGACUAAGCUGACAAUUUCCUAAACUAAGUCAAUUAUGCAUCUAGGAAGGAUUUUGUUACCUGUACCUGUCUUUAAAUGCUUUUCUUUUGCACCUCAAAUUUCUGUUAAUCCAGACAAGAGACAAUAAAGUGCAGGUGUCAGUGCAUCAAACUGCAAUCCCAAGGAAGAUUAAGGGCUCUCUGGCACUGUGAUGGGCUGUAUUCAUUAACUCACAUUAUCAGUGUCCCUUGGAGUUGCUACACAUGACCAUGAGUGUGCUUGUAGCUACAAUAAUGAUGUUUUAUUCCUGACCUAAGAUUCCCCAGAUUCGUCCCUCUGAGAUAGCCAGUCCCUGCUGGUGACUGGGAGAGAGAGAGUGAAAAUGCUGGGACCUGAGAUUCUUCCUGAUCUACCUAAACAGUAAAUCCCAGCUUCCCAGAGGAACUUACUGCUGGUUUCCUCAAGUGCUGAGGAUGGUGAAAUCAUCAUGGCAAGGUGCUGAUCUCUGUUCUUCAGUCCUGAAAGUCCUUGGAAAACAGAAGGAAUACAGCCAUGAUCCCAACUGGGUGUAACCACUAUGGUAUAAUGUGUCUGUGCAUCUCACAAGCAGCAAGAGGGAAGCAACAUAGCCGUCCAGCAUGUUUCGUGGCACACAAAGUGGCAUGAGAGCAGCAGGCCUUGUCUACUAAAAACUCACUCAGGUUGUGUGUGAUGCAUAAUGACAUGGAGCAGACAUAUCUGCAAGAAGCGCUUGGUAUAGAAGGGCACAGAUGUGGAUGAGCUCUAUCCAGCUGGCAAGAGAUGUUGAAGAGGUGCAGAUGAGGGCUACAAGACUCCCAGGCAUACUCCUGUAUGGCAUACUGGAUACUGGGAUACUCCUGUACCAGCAUCACCUGAAGAAAAUCAGAGUUGGCACACCAGACAUGACUCCCAGUAAUGCCAUUUUCUCUUUCUGUUAUCUCACUUUCUGAGACUAUAACACAAAGAUGACAUUCUUCACUGCUAAGGAAAGCCAGACUCCCUGAGCUGCUGGAGUUGAAGGGGACUUCUGGGUCAUCUUGUCCAAAGUCCUGGACUGGAUCCCAACUUCUCAAUUCUUUAAUCCAACAACCAGGAAAGAGAAAGAAAAAAAAAAAAACAACCCCACUUUACUGGGUUGAUAUAUCUGUUUGUUACAUAUUAUUUAAAAUUAUGAAAGAGGAGAUAUUUAUCCAUUUAUCCAUCCUAUCUCAUGUAACUUCCUUUAUUCUUUAUCCUCUGCACAGUGGAAACAGCUGUGUGCAAAAGUCAGGUGGGCAAAGGAAACGGAGCCAGCUCCAUAGAUCCUCAGGGCCAACUCCGGUUAAAUCCUCACUUAUCCCUUCAGCCACAGGGGCACAGCAAAUACAAUAAAAUGAGUUAGAAGGGUGCAAAGUUCAUAGAUAGGUUUAUAUAUGUUUUUAUGACCAAUAAAAACUUCCCCAAUAAUGAGCAAGUUAAUGAUUACAUUAUCUUUAGACUGGGGUGCCUAACUGCCUACUAGACUGAACAGUGAGUUCUAGAAGGAGUUUAUAAUGUACUAAAUGUGUCUAUUACGAAAAUCAGCAAGUAAAAGCUUUUUUAAAUUGAGACAUGGGUGUCAGCAAUCUCUCUUCUCACCCUUCAUGUCAUACUGCCAGUUUACAGGAGGCUUAGUUACAUCAGGUACUUUGACCUCCAACUCUUUUACUGAGGAUUUUAUACCAGAUGGUUAGAUAAUACGCUUUACAUGCCCUGCUUCAUGUAUUCUUCUUCAUUUUAGCAGCUUAUUAUGAGCUUGUAGUUCUUUUAUUCCUAAUACUCUUUUUAUGCAUAUAUUGUCUUGGAUUAUCAAUUUAUGUCAUUCAUUGUCAAUAUUUUCAUUUUCAACAAAAUUAUUUUGAUCCUUCACAGAAAUAUGUACACAGAGAUUUCCUGCUACAUAGCACAAGCUAGGAAAAGCAAAUAAAAAUACUUUAUUUCAAAAAGUAAUAAAGAACAACAUAAUUCA
This is a long non-coding RNA of Haemorhous mexicanus (house finch), 2259 nucleotides long. RefSeq lists it as uncharacterized. The record is from RefSeq and is a predicted model, not a curated record. NCBI's taxonomy places the organism in Eukaryota, Metazoa, Chordata, Aves, Passeriformes, Fringillidae. The transcript has 3 exons.